RNAcentral lists this ribosomal RNA (300 nucleotides) under uncultured Lactobacillus sp. Its description in RNAcentral is "bacterial SSU rRNA". It matches the Rfam family "Bacterial small subunit ribosomal RNA", at positions 496 to 795 of the family's 1533-position model. Lineage: Bacteria; Bacillati; Bacillota; Bacilli; Lactobacillales; Lactobacillaceae. The record is from RNAcentral.
UCAAAGUUCGCGUCAGGCGCCGCGAGAAGACGAAAGUACCGAGGGAUGACCGGAAUUGUUGGGGUUAAAAGGUGCGGAAGCGUGAUAGUAAUUGAGUGGUGAAAACCCGGAGCGUAACGGCGGGAUUGCCAGUGAUACUGCUGGUCUGGAGUGUAGUUGAGGUGGGCGGAAUGUGUCAGGUAGCGGUGAAAUGCUUAGAUAUGACCCAGAACACCAAUUGCGAAGGCAGCACGCUAAGGCAUAACUGACGCUGAGGCACGAAAGCGUGGGGAGCAAACAGGAUUAGAUACCCGAGUAGUC